This 697-nucleotide ribosomal RNA is filed under the name Halieaceae bacterium. RNAcentral describes it as "bacterial SSU rRNA". It matches the Rfam family "Bacterial small subunit ribosomal RNA", at positions 61 to 756 of the family's 1533-position model. The record is from RNAcentral. Lineage: Bacteria; Pseudomonadati; Pseudomonadota; Gammaproteobacteria; Cellvibrionales; Halieaceae.
GUUCGAGCGCGAAGCACUUCGGUGUGAGUAGAGCGGCGGACGGGUGAGUAACGCGUAAGAAUCUACCUAGUAGUGGGGGACAACUCGGGGAAACUCGAGCUAAUACCGCAUACGCCCUACGGGGGAAAGCGGGGGACCUUCGGGCCUCGUGCUAUUAGAUGAGCUUGCGUUGGAUUAGCUUGUUGGUGGGGUAAUGGCCCACCAAGGCGACGAUCCAUAGCUGGUCUGAGAGGAUGAUCAGCCACACCGGGACUGAGACACGGCCCGGACUCCUACGGGAGGCAGCAGUGGGGAAUAUUGCGCAAUGGGCGAAAGCCUGACGCAGCCAUGCCGCGUGUGUGAAGAAGGCCCUAGGGUUGUAAAGCACUUUCAAUUGGGAGGAAAAGCUAACGACUAAUACUCGUUAGCCCUGACGUUACCUUUAGAAGAAGCACCGGCUAACUCCGUGCCAGCAGCCGCGGUAAUACGGAGGGUGCAAGCGUUAAUCGGAAUUACUGGGCGUAAAGCGCGCGUAGGCGGCUUUUUAAGUCGGAUGUGAAAGCCCCGGGCUCAACCUGGGAACUGCACCCGAUACUGGAAGGCUAGAGUGCGAGAGAGGGAGGUAGAAUUCCAUGUGUAGCGGUGAAAUGCGUAGAUAUAUGGAGGAAUACCAGUGGCGAAGGCGGCCUCCUGGCUCGACACUGACGCUGAGGUGCGA